ACAGCAGUAGGGAAUCUUCCGCAAUGGACGAAAGUCUGACGGAGCAACGCCGCGUGAGUGAUGAAGGCUUUCGGGUCGUAAAACUCUGUUGUUAGGGAAGAACAAGUACGAGAGUAACUGCUCGUACCUUGACGGUACCUAACCAGAAAGCCACGGCUAACUACGUGCCAGCAGCCGCGGUAAUACGUAGGUGGCAAGCGUUAUCCGGAAUUAUUGGGCGUAAAGCGCGCGCAGGCGGUUUCUUAAGUCUGAUGUGAAAGCCCACGGCUCAACCGUGGAGGGUCAUUGGAAACUGGGGAACUUGAGUGCAGAAGAGAAAAGCGGAAUUCCACGUGUAGCGGUGAAAUGCGUAGAGAUGUGGAGGAACACCAGUGGCGAAGGCGGCUUUUUGGUCUGUAACUGACGCUGAGGCGCGAAAGCGUGGGGAGCAAACAGGAUUAGAU
RNAcentral lists this ribosomal RNA (443 nucleotides) under Bacillus sp. (in: firmicutes). RNAcentral's name for it is "bacterial SSU rRNA". It matches the Rfam family "Bacterial small subunit ribosomal RNA", at positions 348 to 783 of the family's 1533-position model. Lineage: Bacteria; Bacillati; Bacillota; Bacilli; Caryophanales; Bacillaceae. The record is from RNAcentral.